ACCUCUUGCCAUGUUUAAGAACAUUUAAUAUUGUUGGGUACAUAAACGAGAGUGAACUAAAUACUUGAAUGUGGUGUUUCGUCAAUAUGCAACUCGUUGCAUAUUGAGCCCCACUUAACUUGUAGUAUUGUUUGUUGCACUUUGCCAUGCCAUGCCUCAUUAAACCGGACAUGCAUCAUAUUUGCUUGCGCAUCAUGCCAUGUUUAUGUGAUGGUUGUUUACUAUGUUGUUUGCUUCUUUUCCGGGUGUACUUCUUCUCGAUAGUUCUCGGUUUCGUUCCGGAGUUGUGAGGAUCCGUUCGACGUCAUCCGUUUGUCUUUUUCAUGGACUUUAUCUUCUUCCUAGCGGGAUUUCAGGCAAGAUGACCAUUACCCUCGAUAUCACUUCUAUCUUUGUUUGCUAGUUGUUCGCUCUAUCGCUAUGUCGCGCUACGUACCACUUGUUUAUCAUGCCUCCCAUAUUGCCAUGUCAAGCCUCUAACCCACCUUCCUAGCAAACCAUUGUUUGGCUAAGUUACCGCUUAUGCUCAGCCCCUCUUAUAGCAUUGUUAGUUGCAGCUGAAGUUGAAGUUUGCUCCAUGUUGAAACAUGAUGAUUUUGGGAUAUCACAAUAUCUCUUAUUUAAUUAAUGCAUCUAUAUACUUGGUAAAGGGUGGAAGGCUCGGCCUUAUGCCUGGUGUUUUAUUCCACUCUUGCCGCCCUAGUUUCCGUCAUACCGGUGUUAUGUUCCUUGAUUUUGCGUUCCUAAUGUGGUUGGGGUUAUGGGACCCCCUUGACAGUUUGCUUUGAAUAAAACUCCUCCAGCAAGGCCCAACCUUGGUUUUACAUUUUCCUAACAACCUAUUAACCUUCCCUUGGGUCGGCCAACCCGAGGGUCAUCUUUAUUUUAACCCCCCCGGGCCAGUGCUUCUCUAAGUGUUGGUCCGAACUGAGUAGACUGCGAGGCCACCUCAGGGAAACUUGAGGGCUGGUUUUACUUGUAGGAUGUCUCAUCCGGUGUGCCUUGAGAACGAGAUAUGUGCAGCUCCUAUCGGGAUUUGUCGGCACAUUCGGACGGUCUUGUUUUGCCAUUGUCGAAAUGUCUUGUAGCCGGGAUUCCGAGACAGAUCGGGUCUUUCCGGGAGAAGGAAUAUCCUUCGCUGAUCGUGAGAGCUUGUGAUAGGCUAAGUUGGGACACCCCUGCAGGGUAUAAUAUUUCGAAAGCCGUGCCCGCGGUUAUGUGGCAGAUGAGAAUUUGUUAAUGUCCGGUUGUAGAGAACUUGACACUUGACUUAAUUAAAAUGCAUCAACCGCGUGUGUAGUCGUGAUGGUCUCUUCUCGGCGGAGUCCAGGAAGUGAACACGGUUUGUGUUAUGGUUGAACGUAAGUAGUUUCAGGAUCACUUCUUGAUCACUUCUAGCUUCACGGCCGUUGCGUUGCUUCUCUUCUCGCUCUUAUUUGCGUAUGUUAGCCACCAUAUUUGCUUAGUGCUUGCUGCAGCUCCACCUCAUUACCUUAUCCUACCCAUAAGCUUAAAUAGUCUUGAUCUCGCAGGUUUUGAGAUUGCUGAGUCCUCGUGACUCACAGAUACUAUCACAAUAGUUGCAGGUGCCGAUGAUACCAGUGCAGGUGACGCAACCGAGCUCAAGUGGGAGUUCGACGAGGACCUUGGUCAUAGCUUUGUCUCUUUUCCUGACGAUUAGUAGUGGUGCCCAGUUGGGACGAUCGGGGAUCUAGCAGUUGGGUCUAUCUUCUUUUCUUUUGGAUUUUUCCGUAGUCGGACUAUGUGUGUACUCUGAUUGAUGUAUGAUUCAUUUAUGUAUUGUGUGAAGUGGCGAUUGUAAGCCAACUCUUUAUCCCAUUCUUGUUCAUUACAUGAGAUUGUGUGAAGAUGACCCUUCUUG
This 1882-nucleotide long non-coding RNA is filed under the name Triticum aestivum (bread wheat). Its description in RNAcentral is "long non-coding RNA (TAES_LNC019561)". Lineage: Eukaryota; Viridiplantae; Streptophyta; Magnoliopsida; Poales; Poaceae. The record is from RNAcentral.